Episyrphus balteatus (marmalade hoverfly) is the source of this 797-nucleotide long non-coding RNA. RefSeq lists it as uncharacterized. The record is from RefSeq and is a predicted model, not a curated record. The transcript is spliced from 3 exons. Lineage: Eukaryota; Metazoa; Arthropoda; Insecta; Diptera; Syrphidae.
UGGAGCAGUUAAUGUGAAUGGAUCAAUUAAAAAGUCACAUGAUAAGGAAUUGAUAUUUCCUCUAGAUGAAGAUCAAGCUGUGGAAACACCUACUCCAGUUCCAAGUACACCCGUUCCAUCUUCGUUAUAUGGAAAUUAUUCAUUAAAGUAUAGGAAAGGUUCACCAUCGUCCGUUAAGAUGAAUGCUUCGAGAAGCAUGACAAGAAAAUCAUCACUUUCAAAUGUGGCGAAACCAUUCGAUUGCCACUCAAACGAAAAAUGGAUCGAGUCUAUCUUAUAUCUGAAUUAGCAUCAAAAUUGUUCCUCGUGAAACAACUCCCGGUGUGACAAUAUCCACAUUAACUGGAAUUCUUGAAGUCAAAGAUAAAGUCCAUAAUAUUGCUCCAUGUGAUGAUGAAUCGGAUAGUAAAGCAAAUACAAGUGCUGGCACAACUCUACAUCCACCACUCUACAGAAGUUCUAAAAAAAGGUUAAUAUGAAUAUGGAGGAGUCGAUAUAGAUUCCAUAUUGGCGGAAGAUGGAAUAAUAGAUAUUAAAACAGAACGAAUUGGAGGUGUAUUAACGAUAACCAUACCAAGUGAAGAUACGACUGGGAAUCGACAGCAGAAUAACGAAUCAGCAGGAGAUAUCAACAAAGGAAGGAAUCAACAAAGGAGGGAAUACUAGACAUCCAAAACACAAACAACAGCAGCAACAACAAAUAAAAAGAUUUAUUUUAUUUAAUAUCUAUUUUAAAAUUGUAUUUAUUGUAAUUUUUUGAUCUAAAAAACAUUAAAAUAAAAAAAAAAACAAUUUCA